RNAcentral lists this unclassified non-coding RNA (1541 nucleotides) under Hevea brasiliensis (rubber tree). The record is from RNAcentral. Lineage: Eukaryota; Viridiplantae; Streptophyta; Magnoliopsida; Malpighiales; Euphorbiaceae.
CCCCUACAUCUGCAAUUUAGGGUUUUCACAAAUUGAAAUGUGCAGGCCUAAUGGAAAACUCUGAAGCCUCCAAUUUCCUCACAAAUGCUGCCGAUACAAACCCUAAAUUAGGGUUUCAAUCCUCUUUCAAUGCUGAUUCAGAUUCUGAUCAGACUUUGGAACUAGGCAAAAAGCUAGAGCGGAAGCCUCUUUAUUUGACAGAGGCCGGGGUAGUGUUUGAGGAGGCUGCACCUGAUAUAGCAGUGGUGGAGAAAGUAUAUGAAAAACUGGAGAAGCAGCUUCAUUUGAAAGAGGAUGAGGAGGACAAACAUUCGAUUGAAAGGAACCAAGAUGACUACUUUAACAGUGUAGAGAGCAUUGAUGGAGAAGAACACAACAGGUAUGAUAAAGAGGAUAAUGAUAAUAAUGAUGAGAAGUUAGAUGAUGAAGCUGAGGAGAAGAAUGAGAGUAUUAAUGGUAACAGAAGGCAUCAGUAUCCAGUAAGACCUGAAGCUGAAGAUUGUGCCUUCUAUAUGAAAACUGGUACUUGCAAAUUUGGAUCCAAUUGCAAGUUCAAUCACCCUGUAAGAAGGAAAAGCCAGGCUACCAAGGAGAAGGUGAAGGAAAGGGAGGAAGCAGCAGAGAGAUCUGACCAGACAGAAUGCAAGUAUUACUUGAGGACAGGGGGUUGUAAGUAUGGAAAAGCUUGUAGAUAUAAUCACUCAAGAGCAAAAACUCCAGUGCUCCCUGCAAAAACAACAGUAUUCCCUGUUUUAGAACUUAACUUUCUGGGUCUGCCAAUCCGACUGGGAGAGAGAGAGUGCCCGUAUUAUAUGCGUAAUGGUUCCUGCAAGUAUGGAGUGAACUGCCGGUUUAAUCAUCCAGAUCCUACAGCUGCUGGAGGAAGUGACCCUCCUUCAGCAUUCAGUAAUGGUGGGGCUGCUGCUUUACAGAGUUCCUCACAAUCAAGUGUAGCAUCUUGGUCUUUACCAAGAGGACUAAAUGAGGCUGCCCCCUUUCCAAUUAUGUUUUCACCAACUCAAGGGGUUCCUUCACAAAAUCCUGAAUGGAAUGGAUAUCAGGCUCCUGCAUUUCCACCAGAGAGGAGGAGUAUACACCCAGGUUCAGCGUAUGUCAUAAGCAAUCCAGCUACAGAUACCAACGUCUAUGCGCAUCAGCAGCAGAUGACAUUCGAUGAAUAUCCAGAACGACCUGGACAACCAGAGUGCAGUUAUUAUUUGAAAACUGGAGGCUGUAAAUUCAAGUCUAAUUGCAAAUAUCAUCAUCCAAAGAAUCAGAUCCCGAAGUCACCUCCAUGUGCUCUUAGUGACAAGGGCCUGCCAUUGAGACCUGGUCAGCAUAUCUGUUCUUACUACAGCCGGUAUGGUAUUUGCAAGUUUGGGCCUGCUUGUAAAUUUGACCAUUCAAUACAACCAGCUUCAAUGACAGGGUCUGCUGAAGAUCAGGGUACCCCCUUCAGUGACUCUCUGGCUAAAGACGAGUCUAGGAUGUCUGAAACUGGAAAUCAAAGUGACACUGCUAUUCAGCAGCCUGAGUAAAAU